GUGGGGAAUCUUAGACAAUGGGCGCAAGCCUGAUCUAGCCAUGCCGCGUGAGCGAUGAAGGCCUUAGGGUUGUAAAGCUCUUUCAGUGGGGACGAUAAUGACGGUACCCACAGAAGAAGCCCCGGCUAACUUCGUGCCAGCAGCCGCGGUAAUACGAAGGGGGCUAGCGUUGUUCGGAUUUACUGGGCGUAAAGCGCACGUAGGCGGAUCGUUAAGUCGGGGGUGAAAUCCUGGAGCUCAACUCCAGAACUGCCUUCGAUACUGGCGAUCUUGAGUACGGAAGAGGUGAGUGGAACUCCUAGUGUAGAGGUGGAAUUCGUAGAUAUUAGGAAGAACACCAGUGGCGAAGGCGGCUCACUGGUCCGGUACUGACGCUGAGGUGCGAAAGCGUGGGGAGCAAACAGGAUUAGAAACCCCUGUAGUCC
RNAcentral lists this ribosomal RNA (425 nucleotides) under uncultured bacterium. RNAcentral describes it as "partial 16S ribosomal RNA". It matches the Rfam family "Bacterial small subunit ribosomal RNA", at positions 354 to 796 of the family's 1533-position model. The record is from RNAcentral.